RNAcentral lists this ribosomal RNA (434 nucleotides) under Escherichia coli. RNAcentral describes it as "partial 23S ribosomal RNA". It matches the Rfam family "Bacterial large subunit ribosomal RNA", at positions 1024 to 1456 of the family's 2925-position model. The record is from RNAcentral. Lineage: Bacteria; Pseudomonadati; Pseudomonadota; Gammaproteobacteria; Enterobacterales; Enterobacteriaceae.
AACCCAGACCGCCAGCUAAGGUCCCAAAGUCAUGGUUAAGUGGGAAACGAUGUGGGAAGGCCCAGACAGCCAGGAUGUUGGCUUAGAAGCAGCCAUCAUUUAAAGAAAGCGUAAUAGCUCACUGGUCGAGUCGGCCUGCGCGGAAGAUGUAACGGGGCUAAACCAUGCACCGAAGCUGCGGCAGCGACGCUGAUGCGUUGUUGGGUAGGGGAGCGUUCUGUAAGCCUGUGAAGGUGUGCUGUGAGGCAUGCUGGAGGUAUCAGAAGUGCGAAUGCUGACAUAAGUAACGAUAAAGCGGGUGAAAAGCCCGCUCGCCGGAAGACCAAGGGUUCCUGUCCAACGUUAAUCGGGGCAGGGUGAGUCGACCCCUAAGGCGAGGCCGAAAGGCGUAGUCGAUGGGAAACAGGUUAAUAUUCCUGUACUUGGUGUUACUG